Zea mays is the source of this 3105-nucleotide long non-coding RNA. RefSeq lists it as uncharacterized. The transcript has 2 exons. NCBI's taxonomy places the organism in Eukaryota, Viridiplantae, Streptophyta, Magnoliopsida, Poales, Poaceae. The record is from RefSeq and is a predicted model, not a curated record.
CACGGGAGGGCCGCAACCGAACUUCACACUCCGACGGAACCAAUUCGCAUCCGCACGGACGGAACGUCUGAACCCCACCGCCGCACCGCGCGCGUCCAUCCCCCAAUGCCCCCAGCAGCGGCAGUUCGUCGGGCUCCCUCGCCGGACGCGGCGGGCGGAGCGAGGCUAGCCGCGGAGCAAGCCUCUGGCCCGUGAGAAACAUGUCUCCACAGGAGACACGGCAACGCGCCCUUGUAGAUUGCAACGGCGGAGAGGUGCGCGGUCUCCGCUGCCGGCCUGCCACUGCUGUCGGCGGUGGGCAGAUUGCAAUUCGCUGUAGAAAGGGUAGCACUUUGUGAUUUUGUUAGGGCUCAUUAUAAGCUAUCUCUGCAUCGUUUGAGUACUUGUAGAUCAGAGAGGGUAGGAUUUGUGUAAGUUGCAAUGCUCUAUGGCUUAGUGUAGGAUUUACCUUUUUUCAAAUGCACUGUUUACUUAGUGACACCCAAUUUUCACAAGCCUCACAGGUCAAAAAAUUGUGCAGAAAUGCUAGUUUGGUUGAAAAAGUUCUUUUGAAUAUCAUCCUGUCUGUCAUCACUAUGCCAUCACUAACAAAUUGUCGUUAGCAGAAAUCUGCAUCUGGCAAACCAACCCUUUGACAUUAGUAAGAUUGGUUUCAAUGAAUGACCCAUUACUUGUGAGGCACUUCAGUGGCAGAAAGUACAUGGAAGCUUUAUACCGCCAUCAAUCUUUCCGCAGCCAAAAUUUACAAUCCUCCACACGUAUGGACAUGUUCCUUUGAAACUGCACACCUAAAAGGGGGCCAGGAUGUUACAUUUUAGUUGACUGCUGUGCACGAUAGGAAUGUCUGAAAUUUGUUCAAACCGAGUCAUCGCAAAAACCUCGAUAGGAUUGGAAUGGUGUGGAUGGAUACAUUUUUCUCAUUACUUCGUAUAGGUUUCAAAAAGGAGUCUGAUAGUAGUUGCAAUAACCAUGUUAAUCUUCAGAUCAUUGAGAAUCUAUUUAGUAUUUUGAGUAUUUUAUCAAGCCAUUUAAUAUUUUUACUAUGCAGGAGGUUAUUGUGCUGUUCCAUUUGGCUGAAUACGGAAGUUAAUGGUGGUUGAGUGCAAGAAAAGAAAUUUAACUAACACUGUAAAGAUCGAGGAAUAUAGAAACAGAGCUAAUUGACACUAGUGAUGAAAACAGUCUCAUGACUUGUGAAAGGUAGCUUCUACCUCCCUCAUCUAUUAUAUGGUUUUCUAGGAGACUGCUAACAGACGGCAAGUUUCAAAGAUCAUGUUCACAUUGCCUUAUCCCAUCUUAAUCAGUGCUGUCCUUGUAGAAUUACGUGAGGAAUGUGGACAUUGAGCUAUAUUAUAGUUGGAAGCUUCAUGUUUAAUCCUUUUACUUAAUCCAACAUGAUGCUAUCUUGUAGAAGGAAAUUCUGAUUUGUGGAUGUCAAAUGAUCGCAAGAAUUUCUUGUGGCUAGCGCCAUUGUAUGUCCCAGGUUCAGGGUGCUUUUGUGUUUUGUGCGACAGUUUUGGGUUCUAGUUGGUGUUUCUUGGUGUCUAAACAUGGGGCUGUUGUAACAUUUAAACUUUAUUCCUUAUUGAAUAAAUAGGCAGAGCUCGUGACCUCCUGCCAUCUGUUUCAAAAAGAAAAAAAGAAGCGCAGGCCUGGUGCAAUGGCGAGAGCUAUCUCACUGAAUCACUAUUCACUAGGUUUCUUCAAAGUAAUCUCUCCGCAUUUGUGGGGGAAGGCUUGCCUCGGCUUAUAUCUUUCCUGGACCCCACUCAUGUGGGAGCCUCCAGCAGUGAGUCUGCCUGCCUUGCCUUAAAUCUGGGACAGAUAGAGUUGUAGGUUGCAAUUUCUUUUUUAGUAUAUAUCACUAGAUUGUAGUUUGAAUGGUGUUCUUUCACAAUGCCGAUUUCAUAGUACAUUGAGCUAUUCUAGUUACCCAAAUAGUUGUAUUUUGUUCAAAGAUGAGCAAAAAAGGUGCUCAUAUGUAGCUUCUCAGCAUAGGAUUCUGCAGUUUGACAUUUUGAACACUGACUACAAAUUUUUAUGCAAUGAAAUUUUUUAUGUCUCAAUGAAUUCAGCAGUUAUGAUCCAAACCUUUUGGGUAUCUGCUUAAAGCAUCUGUGGCAAGCCAGCAAGCAGCAGUGGUGCAGAAUUUACUGAACCAAUUAGAGAUAUAACAUUAUUUUGGACAAAAUGUUAUGAAGUUUAAUUUGUGUUACUGGAAUGACAAAAGUAAAUUGCGCACAUUGAAUGAGUUGAAACCUUGUUACAAUAAAUGGUUGAAUUUUCAGAAUAUUUUCGUUUGAGUUGCUUCAUCUAUUCUGGAUGUGUUUGUUUUGUCACUAGGAAAAGCAUUGGUAUAAUACUCUAGCAAAAACAAGGAAGAUUCAGUUAGGCUGCAUAUUGUGAUAUCGAUAUUAACUUUAUGUUGUACAUAGUAUUAGUUAUUUAGUUCUAAUCUAUUGCUUGCCUUAAACACUAGUGACAGCUGUCAGUUCUUUUUAAAGCUUCCAUUUGAUGGCCUAAUAAUUGAUCAGCCAACUAAAUGACUUUCUAUCGACAGCUUGAUGGUCACUGCUUGCUGACUGGUGAGCAGCAAUAGGGCUUGUCUAGAAAGUGAGGUACAGACAUAAGGCAACCUUGCAUUCCUGAUCAGGUAUCACUCGAGUGUGUAGGUUUUUCCGGGAUGCAGACAGAUCAUGAGAGAUUAGACUGUCUUCGAAGCCAAUGCUGCUGGGAGUUUCUAGUUUAUCAACAGAUUUCCUCUUAGUUGUUGAUCGCAGCAAGAAACGGCUGUCCUUGCUAGCUUGUCAUUUCGCUUUUAGGUGUUCGUAGGUAAGAAAAACAUGCGACAGAACCAGGCAUCGUUGACACUUGUUAGACAGCAACGAUGAUGACAUCGCCAUUUUCUAGAGAACGACGUCAAUGCGGACAAGAAAGCCAAUUGUUUUUUGUUCAAUAGUUUUUUCAUCUCGUAUUCUUGGACAAAGGUUAACCUGUAUUUGUGCUUCUGUCUUUCAGGCAGGAAAAACAUGUAUCUGACUCUAUCCGAUGUUUCUCACGGGCACCAUGGGAAUGGGAAUUGCUGUUGCCCUCGUUUUAAACUCA